UCCUAAAAAGAGUUAGAGGAGUGGCCGAAAGAUAGGUCAAUUUCGGGAGAGGUGUCCUGAUACCCUCCUUGCUUUGGUAUUCUGAGGUCGAACGCUAAUGUAUUGCGAACUAUAAUCAUUCUUUCCUUUACUUGUUUUGGUUCUUUUGAUUCAUCUAUAACCGGUUUUCUUGAUCAUGGUCGCACUGGGUCGCCUGGGAUCGAUUUUCGAGCGUAUGACUUUAAUCGCUAACCAGUCUUCGUAGAGGUAAUUAAUUUCCCCCACAGAUUUCAGAUCCGCAUUGUUUUCACCGACUACAUCUGUCUUUUAUCCAACUUUUUUUUCGGCCACUUUGUUUUUCUAUAUUAAACUCUACCUGUCUUUUAUUCACUCACUUUCUUUAUCAGCCACUUUUUCUUUUCUAUACCGUUUCCUCCCUACCCUUCAUCCAGUUACCGUUUCCUCCCUACCCUUCAUCCAGUUGCCGUUUCCUCCCUACCCUUCAUCCAGUUGCCGUUUCCUCCCUACCCUUCAUCCAGUUACCGUUUCCUCCCUACCCUUCAUCCAGGUACCGUUUCCUCCCUACCCUUCAUCCAGUUACCGUUUCCUCCCUACCCUUCAUCCAGGUACCGUUUCCUCCCUACCCUUCAUCCAGUUACCGUUUCCUCCCUACCCUUCAUCCAGUUACCGUUUCCUCCCUACCCUUCAUCCAGGUACCGUUUCCUCCCUACCCUUCAUCCAGUUACAGUUUCCUCCCUACCCUUCAUCCAGUUAGUUUCCUCCCUACCCUUCAUCCAGUUACAGUUUCCUCCCUACCCUUCAUCCAGUUACAGUUUCCUCCCUACCCUUCAUCCAGUUACAGUUUCCGCCCUACCCUUCAUCCAGUUACAGUUUCCGCCCUACCCUUCAUCCAGUUACAGUUUCCUCCCUACCCUUCAUCCAGUUACAGUUUCCUCCCUACCCUUCAUCCAGUUACAGUUUCCUCCCUACCCUUCAUCCAGUUACAGUUUCCUCCCUACCCUUCAUCCAGUUACAGUUUCCGCCCUACCCUUCAUCCAGUUACAGUUUCCGCCCUACC
Long non-coding RNA from Eriocheir sinensis (Chinese mitten crab), 1057 nucleotides. RefSeq lists it as uncharacterized. The transcript is spliced from 3 exons. The record is from RefSeq and is a predicted model, not a curated record. NCBI's taxonomy places the organism in Eukaryota, Metazoa, Arthropoda, Malacostraca, Decapoda, Varunidae.